This 766-nucleotide ribosomal RNA is filed under the name Staphylococcus aureus. Its description in RNAcentral is "bacterial SSU rRNA". It matches the Rfam family "Bacterial small subunit ribosomal RNA", at positions 28 to 776 of the family's 1533-position model. Lineage: Bacteria; Bacillati; Bacillota; Bacilli; Caryophanales; Staphylococcaceae. The record is from RNAcentral.
GAUGAACGCUGGCGGCGUGCCUAAUACAUGCAAGUCGAGCGAACGGACGAGAAGCUUGCUUCUCUGAUGUUAGCGGCGGACGGGUGAGUAACACGUGGAUAACCUACCUAUAAGACUGGGAUAACUUCGGGAAACCGGAGCUAAUAUCGGAUAAUAUUUUGAACCGCAUGGUUCAAAAGUGAAAGACGGUCUUGCUGUCACUUAUAGAUGGAUCCGCGCUGCAUUAGCUAGUUGGUAAGGUAACGGCUUACCAAGGCAACGAUGCAUAGCCGACCUGAGAGGGUGAUCGGCCACACUGGAACUGAGACACGGUCCAGACUCCUACGGGAGGCAGCAGUAGGGAAUCUUCCGCAAUGGGCGAAAGCCUGACGGAGCAACGCCGCGUGAGUGAUGAAGGUCUUCGGAUCGUAAAACUCUGUUAUUAGGGAAGAACAUAUGUGUAAGUAACUGUGCACAUCUUGACGGUACCUAAUCAGAAAGCCACGGCUAACUACGUGCCAGCAGCCGCGGUAAUACGUAGGUGGCAAGCGUUAUCCGGAAUUAUUGGGCGUAAAGCGCGCGUAGGCGGUUUUUUAAGUCUGAUGUGAAAGCCCACGGCUCAACCGUGGAGGGUCAUUGGAAACUGGAAAACUUGAGUGCAGAAGAGGAAAGUGGAAUUCCAUGUGUAGCGGUGAAAUGCGCAGAGAUAUGGAGGAACACCAGUGGCGAAGGCGACUUUCUGGUCUGUAACUGACGCUGAUGUGCGAAAGCGUGGGGAUCAAACAGG